Molecule: ribosomal RNA, 405 nt
Filed under: uncultured bacterium
Lineage: Bacteria
Description: partial 16S ribosomal RNA
Rfam family: Bacterial small subunit ribosomal RNA
Source: RNAcentral
GGGAUGNNAUUCCNNGUGUAGCAGUGGGUGCGUAGAUAUACGGAGGAACACCGAUGGCGAGGGCAAACCUAGGGCCUGUACAGACGCUCAAACAAGAAAGCGUCGGGAGCAAACAGGGUUGGAUGCCCUGGUGGUCCGCGCCCUGAUCGGUGUCGGCUGGUUGUUNNNNNNNUUUCUUCUCAGUANNAAGCUAACGCAUGAAGUAGCCGNUGGGGGUACGGCCGCAAGGUUGGACUCAAAGGAGUUGACGGGGACCCGCACAAGCGGUGGAUGAUGUGGUUUAAUAACGAUGCAACGCGGAAACCUUACCUACCCUUGGCGUGUCAGAGACCCUGCAGAGAUGUGGGGGUGCUCGGAGGCGGGUCUGAACACAGGUGCUGCAUGGCCGUCGACAGCUNGUGUCGU